This is a non-coding RNA of Caenorhabditis elegans, 133 nucleotides long. Lineage: Eukaryota; Metazoa; Nematoda; Chromadorea; Rhabditida; Rhabditidae. The record is from Ensembl.
CAUAUCAGAUUUCACUGAUCACAGAGAAGAGGUCACAGAGGUGAAAAAGACAGGUGACGGUGAUUACAUCAUCUUUGAAAAUCUUCAAAAGUUAUCGCCCGCACAACGGAUAGAAAUGUGUGGCAGACCGGCG